Molecule: ribosomal RNA, 407 nt
Filed under: uncultured bacterium
Lineage: Bacteria
Description: partial 16S ribosomal RNA
Rfam family: Bacterial small subunit ribosomal RNA
Source: RNAcentral
GACGAACGCUGGCGGCGUGCCUAAUACAUGCAAGUAGAACGCAGUUGCGAACGGGUGAGUAACGCGUCUGUGACUGCCUCAUAGCGGGGGAUAACUAUUUGAAACGAUAGCUAAUACCGCAUACUGUGAGCUGGACCUGCGUUGUAUUAGGUAGUUGGUUAGGUAAAGGCGCACCAAGGCGACGAUACAUAGCCGACCUGAGAGGGUGAGCGGGCAAAAGUGGACUGGGGAAACGCUCAGAACUCUACGGGAGGGAGCAGGAGGGAAUCUUCGGCAAUGGGCGGAAGUCUGACCGAGCAACGGCGGGGGAGGGAAGAAGGUUUUCGGAGUUUAAAGCUACGUUGAUAGAGAAGCGGUAACUAAAGAGAAAGAGACGGCUAACUACGUGCCAGCAGCCGCGGUAAUAC